UACGAAGGGGGCUAGCGUUGCUCGGAAUGACUGGGCGUAAAGGGCGCGUAGGCGGUUCAUACAGUCAGAUGUGAAAUUCCUGGGCUCAACCUGGGGGCUGCAUUUGAUACGUGUGGACUAGAGUGGGGAAGAGGGUCGUGGAAUUCCCAGUGUAGAGGUGAAAUUCGUAGAUAUUGGGAAGAACACCGGUGGCGAAGGCGGCGACCUGGUCCUUGACUGACGCUGAGGCGACGAAAGCGUGGGGGAGCAAACAGG
RNAcentral lists this ribosomal RNA (255 nucleotides) under uncultured bacterium. Its description in RNAcentral is "partial 16S ribosomal RNA". It matches the Rfam family "Bacterial small subunit ribosomal RNA", at positions 524 to 776 of the family's 1533-position model. The record is from RNAcentral.